AUUGAACGCUGGCGGCAUGCCUUACACAUGUAAGUCGAACGCGAAAGGGGGCAACCCUGAGUAGAGUGGCGAACGGGUGAGUAAUACAUCGGAACAUACCCAGUAGUGGGGGAUAACCAGUCGAAAGAUUGGCUAAUACCGCAUACGACCUACGGGUGAAAGCGGGGGACCGCAAGGCCUCGCGCCAUUGGAUUGGCCGAUGUCCGAUUAGCUAGUUGGCGGGGUAAAAGCCCACCAAGGCGACGAUCGGUAGCUGGUCUGAGAGGAUGAUCAGCCACACUGGGACUGAGACACGGCCCAGACUCCUACGGGAGGCAGCAGUGGGGAAUUUUGGACAAUGGGCGCAAGCCUGAUCCAGCCAUGCCGCGUGUGUGAAGAAGGCCUUCGGGUUGUAAAGCACUUUCGGCCGGGACGAAAUCGCUCGGGUUAACACCCAGGGUGGAU
Molecule: ribosomal RNA, 444 nt
Filed under: uncultured bacterium
Lineage: Bacteria
Description: bacterial SSU rRNA
Rfam family: Bacterial small subunit ribosomal RNA
Source: RNAcentral